RNAcentral lists this ribosomal RNA (301 nucleotides) under uncultured bacterium. Its description in RNAcentral is "partial 16S ribosomal RNA". It matches the Rfam family "Bacterial small subunit ribosomal RNA", at positions 509 to 809 of the family's 1533-position model. The record is from RNAcentral.
CAGUCGCCACGGGAAUACGUAGGGUGCAAACGUUGUUCGGAAUCACUGGGCGUAAAGCGCGUGUAGGCGGUCCUGCAGGUCGGAUGUGAAAUCCCCGGGCUCAACCUGGGAAUGGCAGUGGAUACUGGCAAGCUAGAGUGUGUCAGAGGAUGGUGGAAUUCCCGGUGUAGCGGUGAAAUGCGUAGAGAUCGGGAGGAACAUCAGUGGCGAAGGCGGCCAUCUGGGACAACACUGACGCUGAAGCACGAAAGCGUGGGGAGCAAACAGGAUUAGAUACCCCAGUAGUCCCUGUCUCUUAUAU